GUGGGGAAUAUUGGUCAAUGGGGGAAACCCUGAACCAGCAACGCCGCGUGAAGGAAGAAGGCUUUCGGGUUGUAAACUUCUUUGACAGGGGACGAAAGCAAUGACGGUACCCUGAAAACAAGCCACGGCUAACUACGUGCCAGCAGCCGCGGUAAUACGUAGGUGGCGAGCGUUGUCCGGAUUUACUGGGGGUAAAGGGCGUGUAGGCGGGGCGGUAAGUCAGAUGUGAAAUGUAGGGGCUCAACCCCUGAAUUGCAUUUGAAACUAUCGUUCUUGAGUGAUGGAGAGUCAGGCGGAAUUCCGUGUGUAGCGGUGAAAUGCGUAGAUAUACGGAGGAACACCAGUGGCGAAGGCGGCCUGCUGGACAUUAACUGACGCUGAGGCGCGAAAGCGUGGGGAGCAAACAGGAUUAGAUACCCUAGUAGUCC
Molecule: ribosomal RNA, 428 nt
Filed under: uncultured bacterium
Lineage: Bacteria
Description: partial 16S ribosomal RNA
Rfam family: Bacterial small subunit ribosomal RNA
Source: RNAcentral